UACGUAGGAUGCGAGCGUUGUCCGGAAUUAUUGGGCGUAAAGGGCUCGUAGGCGGUCUGUUGCGUCAGGAGUGAAAACUCGGGGCUUAACCCCGAGCCUGCUUCUGAUACGGGCAGACUAGAGGUAUGCAGGGGAGAACGGAAUUCCUGGUGUAGCGGUGAAAUGCGCAGAUAUCAGGAGGAACACCGGUGGCGAAGGCGGUUCUCUGGGCCUUACCUGACGCUGAGGAGCGAAAGCGUGGGGAGCGAACAGG
RNAcentral lists this ribosomal RNA (253 nucleotides) under uncultured bacterium. Its description in RNAcentral is "partial 16S ribosomal RNA". It matches the Rfam family "Bacterial small subunit ribosomal RNA", at positions 524 to 776 of the family's 1533-position model. The record is from RNAcentral.